UAGGCAGGACGCAGUAUAGUGGAUGGCUUGGCUUGAGAGCUGAUGAAGGGCGCGGCAAGCUGCGAUAAGCUUGGGGUAGCUGCAUGCGAGCGUUGAUCCCAAGAUUCCCGAAUAGGACUUCCGACCAUGCUGAAAGCGUGGUACUCCUUUGGGAGAAGUAACGCGGGGAAUUGAAACAUCUUAGUACCCGCAGGAAGAGAAAUCAAUUGAGAUUCCGUUAGUAAAGGUGAUCGAAAGCGGAACAGGGCAAAACGAAUCUACCUUAGCGAUUUGGUAGAAAUGUGUGGUUUGGAGCUUGUCAAGCAACUCAGAUUUUAAGAUUAACUCCUCUGGAAAGAGGGACCUUAGAGGGUGAUAGUCCCGUUUUCGAACGAAAAUGAGUUGUGGCGAGUUUCCAGAGUAGCUGGAGUCGAAAUUCUUCAGUGAAUGCAGGAGGCAACAACUUCUAACCCUAAACACUCCUCAAGACCGAUAGCGCAUCAGUACCGUGAGGGAACGCUGAAAAGCACCUCUACUCGGGUGUGAAAAGAGCCUGAAUCUAUGCUGUUAUAGUAAGGCGCGGCCAUUAAGCGAACAUCAUAUCAGAUAUGAGUGGUGUUCUUGCGUGGUUGCGUCGUCCUGUUCGGAUACAGGGGCAGGGAGUUUGUGUCAGUGGCAAGACUAAAUUCUAUAAAGAAUGGAGUCGAAGCGAAAGCAACAAGCCCGCAGUUUACGAGGGGCGAGGUGCGAAUAGUGCCUGAAGUCACUGGUGCAAGACCCGAAACGAGUUGAUCUAUGCCUGGGCAAGGCGAAGCCCUCACUCAAUGGGGGUGGAGGCCUGAAGAGUAACUGUGUACAAGCGUUCUUCUGACCUGGGUAUAGGGGUGAAAAGCCAAUCGUAACUCGUGAUAGCUGGUUCCUCGCGAAAUUGGCUCCAGUCAAGUCUGCGGCGAGAUAACAUGAGGGGUAGAGCGACUGAUUUUGUAUGACAGGCGGCCUUGAGCUGUCGGUAUGGAGUCAAACUCCGAAUACUCAUGUGUUAUAGACCCGCGGAAACGGUGCAGGGGGGUAAGCUCCCAGCACGAGAGGGGAACAACCCAGACCUUGGUUAAGGUCCCAAAGCGAUUGUUAAGUGUAAAAGGUGGAAGCGUGUAUGCCGCCUAAAACAGCCGGGAAGUAGGCUUAGAAGCAGCCAUCUUCUAAGGAAAGCGUAACAGCUCACCGGUCUAGGUUUCACGCCGUGAAAAUGGACGGGACUAAACAAUCCACCGAUACCAAGGGGGCCUGAAUAAGGCAUCCAGUAGCGAGGCGUCCCGAGCGGGUGGAAGCACGGUUGUAAAAUCGUGUGGACCGCCCGGGAAUGAGAAUCCUGCCAAGAGUAGCAGCAGAACAGGGUGAGAAUCCCUGUCGCCGAAAGAGCAAGGGUUCCUCAGCACUGUUCGUCAGCUGAGGGUUAGUCGGUCCUAAGGUUCGCCUUAACUGGUAGUAACCGAAAGGGAAACAGGUUGAUAUUCCUGUACCACUAUUGUACGUGCGGCAACGCAAGACUCAUGGGUGAUGCUUCUGGAUAGGUCAAGCAAAACCGUCGUUUUGUCUAACAAGACCAAGCCUGAGAAGUCCCGUAAUGGGGUUCAUCAGGUUAAGCUUGGAAUGGCCCGAGUAUUCGGGUUUGGCUGAUUCCCGGAGUCCGUGAAAAACCGAUGAGUAAGGACCAAUAGUGACCGUACCGAGAACCGACACAGGUGUCUCUAGCUAAGAAAGCUAAGGCGUGUAGGGAGAACCCACGUUAGGGAAAUCGACAAAUUAGCCCCGUAACUUCGGGAUAAGGGGUCCCUGCGCUUGUUACCGCAUGGUUGCGAGUGCAGGGGGCACUGACAAGGCUGGCUGGACUGUUUAAUAAAAACAUAGUCGACUGCGAGCCCCAAAGGGUGUGUAUAGUCGAUGAGUCGUGGCCACUGCCAGCAUCUGAAAGCCCAGUUCAAUGGGUCUAAGGACUGGUGUAGGCCGGAGGUAUCCGUAACCUUCUUAAGGUAGCGUAAUUCCUUGUCAUUUAAAUGGUGACGUGCAUGAUGGAUUAACUAGGUUGGCAUUGUCCCAACGUGGGACCCUGUGAACAUUCUUUCCUGGUGUAAAGGCCAGGGACUUCCAGUGGGUCGCGAAGACCCCAGGAGCUUUACUGCAGUCUGUAGCUGUGGUGCGAGCGUUGUUGUGUAGGAUAGGUGGGAGAUGUAGAUGGAGGGCUGAAAGGUUUUCCGGAGUCAAUGGUGAAAUACCACCCUGCAAUGCUCGCACUGCUUAACCCUUAACCAAGGGGACAACUAUUGAUAGGCAGUUUGGCUGGGGCGGCACGCCCGUGAAAAAAUAUCACGGGUGUCCAAUGGUCAACUCAUCCGGGUCAGAACUCCGGAGUGGAAUACAAUGGUAAAAGUUGGCCUUACUGUAAAUUGCAAAAUGAGAUUUACAGUCUCGAAAGAGGGGCAUAGAGAUCCUCAGUGCUCUUUUGUUGAGAGCCUGAGCUGGCAAAAAAGUUACCCUGGGGAUAACAGGCUUGUCGUGCCCGAUAGCUCGUAUUGACGGCACGGCUUGGUACCUCGAUGUCGGCUCUUCCUAUCCUGGCUGUGCAUAAGCAGCCAAGGGUGCGGGUGUCCACCGAUUAAAAGGGAUCGUGAGCUGGGUUUAGAACGCCGUGAGGCAGUUCAGUUGUUAACUACUGGAAGUGUUGGAAGUCUGAGUGGAAGCAUUCAUUAGUACGAGAGGAACAUGAGUGCGUGGCCUCUGGUUUACCAGCUGUCCGACAGGGCAGCGCUGGGCAGCUACGCCGCAAGCGGAUAAGAGCUGAAAGCAUCUAAGCUCGAAGUCGCCCGCGAAAAGAGACUUCCUUUUGAGAGCUCCCAUAGAUGAUGGGUUUGAUAGGCUCGGGGUGUACGUGCGAAGGUAACGACGCAUUCAGCCUGCGAGUACUAAACGCUC
This 2949-nucleotide ribosomal RNA is filed under the name archaeon CG10_big_fil_rev_8_21_14_0_10_43_11. Its description in RNAcentral is "bacterial LSU rRNA". It matches the Rfam family "Archaeal large subunit ribosomal RNA". The record is from RNAcentral.